This is a small nuclear RNA of Podarcis muralis (Common wall lizard), 164 nucleotides long. Its record names the gene U1. It matches the Rfam family "U1 spliceosomal RNA". From Rfam's summary of the family: U1 is a small nuclear RNA (snRNA) component of the spliceosome (involved in pre-mRNA splicing). Its 5' end forms complementary base pairs with the 5' splice junction, thus defining the 5' donor site of an intron. The record is from Ensembl. Lineage: Eukaryota; Metazoa; Chordata; Lepidosauria; Squamata; Lacertidae.
AUACUUACCUGGCACGGGAGACACCUUUAUCAUGAAGGAGGUUUUCCCAGGUUGAGGCUCAUCCAUUGCACUGCAGGUGUGCUGACCCCUGUGAUUUCCAUAAAUGCAGGAAACUCAAUGGGAUAAUUUCUGCUAGUGGGGGACUGUGUUCACGUUUUCCCCUG